GAGUUUGAUCAUGGCUCAGAUUGAACGCUGGCGGCAGGCUUAACACAUGCAAGUCGAGCGGGGAGAUUGCUUCGGUAAUUGACCUAGCGGCGGACGGGUGAGUAAUACUUAGGAAUCUGCCUAUUAAUGGGGGGACGAACAUCUCGAAAGGGAUGCUAAUACCGCAUACGCCUACGGGGAAAGGCAGGGGAUCACUUGUGACCUUGCGUUAAUAGAUGAGCCUAAGUCGGAUUAGCUAGUUGGUGGGGUAAAGGCCUACCAAGGCGGACGAUCUGUAGCGGGUCUGAGAGGAUGAUCCGCCACACUGGGACUGAGACACGGCCCAGACUCCUACGGGAGGCAGCAGUGGGGGAAUAUUGGGAC
Molecule: ribosomal RNA, 363 nt
Filed under: uncultured microorganism
Description: bacterial SSU rRNA
Rfam family: Bacterial small subunit ribosomal RNA
Source: RNAcentral